GGUUGUAGCUCAGUGGCAGAGCACUUGCCUACCAUGUGAGAGGCACUGGGUUCAAUUCUCAGCACCA
RNAcentral lists this transfer RNA (67 nucleotides) under Marmota monax (woodchuck). RNAcentral describes it as "tRNA.Gly". It matches the Rfam family "tRNA". Rfam says of the family: Transfer RNA (tRNA) molecules are approximately 80 nucleotides in length. Lineage: Eukaryota; Metazoa; Chordata; Mammalia; Rodentia; Sciuridae. The record is from RNAcentral.